This 264-nucleotide ribosomal RNA is filed under the name uncultured bacterium. Its description in RNAcentral is "partial 16S ribosomal RNA". It matches the Rfam family "Bacterial small subunit ribosomal RNA", at positions 793 to 1055 of the family's 1533-position model. The record is from RNAcentral.
GUCCACGCCCUAAACGAUGUCAACUAGCUGUUGGGCCGGUUACGGCUUAGUAGCGCAGCUAACGCGUGAAGUUGACCGCCUGGGGACUACGGUCGCAAGACUAAAACUCAAAGGAAUUGACGGGGACCCGCACAAGCGGUGGAUGAUGUGGAUUAAUUCGAUGCAACGCGAAAACCUUACCUACCCUUGACAUGCCUGGAAGCUUUUAAGAGAUUAAAGUGUGCUCGCAAGAGAACCGGUGCACAGGUGCUGCAUGGCUGUCGU